This 253-nucleotide ribosomal RNA is filed under the name uncultured bacterium. Its description in RNAcentral is "partial 16S ribosomal RNA". It matches the Rfam family "Bacterial small subunit ribosomal RNA", at positions 524 to 776 of the family's 1533-position model. The record is from RNAcentral.
UACGUAGGUGGCAAGCGUUGUCCGGAAUUAUUGGGCGUAAAGCGCGCGCAGGCGGUCCUUUAAGUCUGAUGUGAAAGCCCACGGCUCAACCGUGGAGGGUCAUUGGAAACUGGGGGACUUGAGUACAGAAGAGGAGAGUGGAAUUCCACGUGUAGCGGUGAAAUGCGUAGAGAUGUGGAGGAACACCAGUGGCGAAGGCGACUCUUUGGUCUGUAACUGACGCUGAGGCGCGAAAGCGUGGGGAGCGAACAGG